RNAcentral lists this small RNA (956 nucleotides) under Pongo abelii (Sumatran orangutan). RNAcentral's name for it is "retained intron". Lineage: Eukaryota; Metazoa; Chordata; Mammalia; Primates; Hominidae. The record is from RNAcentral.
AGACUGAACAAGAGCUCCAGCAAAGACUUUCACUGUAGAUUGACUUGACCUGAGAUUAACUAGGGAAUCUUGAGAGUAAAGAUGAGCUCUGAAAAUUGUUUCAUAGCAGAGAACAGCUCUUUGCAUCCGGAGAGUGGACAAGAAAAUGAUGCCACCAGUCCCCAUUUUUCAACACGUCAUGAAGGGUCCUUCCAAGUUCCUGUCCUGUGUGCUAUAAUGAAUGUGGUCUUCAUCACCAUUUUAAUCAUAGCUCUCAUUGCUUUAUCAGUGGGCCAAUACAAUUGUCCAGGCCAAUACACAUUCUCAAUGCCAUCAGACAGCCAUGUUUCUUCAUGCUCUGAGGACUGGGUUGGCUACCAGAGGAAAUGCUACUUUAUUUCUACUGUGAAGAGGAGCUGGACUUCAGCCCAAAAUGCUUGCUCUGAACAUGGUGCUACUCUUGCUGUCAUUGAUUCUGAAAAGGACAUGGUAAGAAUAAAAAAAAGAUAAAAUAUUACUAUUUUAAUUCAUAUGGCUAAUCAGUGGUUUCCUUCUGUUUCUAAGUGGAGUAAACAAACAAACAAACAAACAUUGUACCUAUUUCAGAUGUAGGAAAAUGUCAUCCCAGAGAACCAUAUGAUCAGCCUGAGGUCAAAAUGAGGUUUAAUCUUUUAAGUUUGAUUUGAUUGCUUAGCUUCAAAGACCAGAAAUCCAAAUAUGCUGAUCCUAUAUAGAAUGAGUGCAUGGUCAGAUAAGCUGUCAUGCCUCAAGUUGCAGCUUUUGAGAAACAGGAUUUACUAUCUACUUCCCCAGAAGGGUGUUUAAUGUAACAACUCCUUUGUGCUUUCUUUAAGAACUUUCUAAAACGAUACACAGGUAGAGAGGAACACUGGGUUGGACUGAAAAAGGAACCUGGUCACCCAUGGAAGUGGUCAAAUGGCAAAGAAUUUAACAACUGGUAAGUCUCCAGAAGUCUC